AAUUUUCGGCAAUGGGGGCAACCCUGACUGAUCGACGCCGCGUGAGUGAAGAAGGUCUUCGGAUUGUAAAGUUCUGUUGUAAGGGAAGAACCGUACCAGUAGGGAAUGACUGGUACCUGACGGUACCUUACCAGCAAGCCACGGCUAUCAACCUGCCAGCAGCCGCGGUAAUACGUAGGUGGCAAGCGUUAUCCGGAAUUUUUGGGCGUAAAGGGAGCGCAGGCGGCUUAUUAAGUCUGAGGUUAAAGUUCGGGGCUCAACCCCGUGAUGCCUUAGAAACUGGUAGGCUAGAGUGCAGGAGAGGUGAGUGGAAUUCCAUGUGUAGCGGUAAGAUGCGUAGAUAUAUGGAGGAACACCAGUGGCGAAGGCGGCUCACUGGCCUGUAACUGACGCUGAGGCUCGAAAGCGUGGGGAGCAAAUA
Molecule: ribosomal RNA, 421 nt
Filed under: uncultured bacterium
Lineage: Bacteria
Description: partial 16S ribosomal RNA
Rfam family: Bacterial small subunit ribosomal RNA
Source: RNAcentral